UUUUUAAGUUUGGUUUGAGUGGGGUUGUUGAAGAUUGGAUUGGAAGAGACUGACAUGGACAAGUGUGAGCUCAGCUGGAAUUCAUUUCUCUUCAGGCAAAAGAUGUGGGCCAAUUGGUCACAUUUAGGUUUAAAAUUAGUCAUUAAUUGUAUAAUAACUUAUGUUAAGAUAAGAGUUUCUGGUUAUAUAUGGAACUAAUUUUUUUAUAUUUUAUAUGAAGAGAGAAACAAUUAAUUAUUAAAUUACUACCUAUAUAUUAACAUAAACAUAUAUGAAGUGAGGAGAUGAUUCUCAUGGUGUAUAAUUAAUCUUGAG
Molecule: unclassified non-coding RNA, 315 nt
Filed under: Hevea brasiliensis (rubber tree)
Lineage: Eukaryota; Viridiplantae; Streptophyta; Magnoliopsida; Malpighiales; Euphorbiaceae
Source: RNAcentral